Molecule: ribosomal RNA, 497 nt
Filed under: uncultured bacterium
Lineage: Bacteria
Description: partial 16S ribosomal RNA
Rfam family: Bacterial small subunit ribosomal RNA
Source: RNAcentral
GAUGAACGCUGGCGGCGUGCCUAAUACAUGCAAGUCGAGCGAACAGACGAGGAGCUUGCUCCUCUGACGUUAGCGGCGGACGGGUGAGUAACACGUGGAUAACCUACCUAUAAGACUGGGAUAACUUCGGGAAACCGGAUCUAAUACCGGAUAAUAUAUUGAACCGCAUGGUUCAAUAGUGAAAGACGGUUUUGCUGUCACUUAUAGAUGGAUCCGCGCCGCAUUAGCUAGUUGGUAAGGUAACGGCUUACCAAGGCGACGAUGCGUAGCCGACCUGAGAGGGUGAUCGGCCACACUGGAACUGAGACACGGUCCAGACUCCUACGGGAGGCAGCAGUAGGGAAUCUUCCGCAAUGGGCGAAAGCCUGACGGAGCAACGCCGCGUGAGUGAUGAAGGUCUUCGGAUCGUAAAACUCUGUUAUUAGGGAAGAACAAAUGUGUAAGUAACUAUGCACGUCUUGACGGUACCUACUCAGAAAGCCACGGCUAACUACGUG